RNAcentral lists this ribosomal RNA (305 nucleotides) under uncultured bacterium. RNAcentral describes it as "bacterial SSU rRNA". It matches the Rfam family "Bacterial small subunit ribosomal RNA", at positions 334 to 635 of the family's 1533-position model. The record is from RNAcentral.
UUGGCCUACGGGGGGCAGCAGUGAGGAAUAUUGGUCAAUGGGCGGAAGCCUGAACCAGCCAAGUCGCGUGAGGGAAUAAGGCCCUACGGGUCGUAAACCUCUUUUGCCGGGGAGCAAGGGCCGGGACGAGUCCCGGUCCGGAGAGUACCCGGAGAAAAAGCAUCGGCUAACUCCGUGCCAGCAGCCGCGGUAAUACGGAGGAUGCGAGCGUUAUCCGGAUUUACUGGGUGUAAAGGGAGCGUAGACGGUUCUGCAAGUCUGAAGUGAAAGCCCGUGGCUUAACCGCGGAACGGCUUUGGAAACUG